Molecule: ribosomal RNA, 447 nt
Filed under: uncultured bacterium
Lineage: Bacteria
Description: bacterial SSU rRNA
Rfam family: Bacterial small subunit ribosomal RNA
Source: RNAcentral
CACCAGACUCCUACGGGAGGCAGCAGUGGGGAAUAUUGCACAAUGGGGGAAACCCUGAUGCAGCGACGCCGCGUGAGCGAAGAAGUAUUUCGGUAUGUAAAGCUCUAUCAGCAGGGAAGAAAAUGACGGUACCUGACUAAGAAGCCCCGGCUAAAUACGUGCCAGCAGCCGCGGUAAUACGUAUGGGGCAAGCGUUAUCCGGAUUUACUGGGUGUAAAGGGAGCGCAGGCGGCCUGCCAAGUCUGGUGUGAAAACCCGGGGCCCAACCCCGGGCCUGCAUUGGAAACUGGCGGGCUGGAGUGUCGGAGGGGCAGGCGGAAUUCCUAGGGUAGCGGUGAAAUGCGUAGAUAUUAGGAGGAACGCCGGUGGCGAAGGCGGCCUGCUGGGCGAUGACUGACGCUGAGGCUCGAAAGCGUGGGGAGCAAACAGGAUUAGAUACCCUGGUAC